AUGAACUUACAACCGCGCAGAUUAGGUUUUAAAGGAUAAUCCCUGCCUAUAAUGGCGAGUCUGAUGUUAUGA
Non-coding RNA from Bacillus sp. JCM 19045, 72 nucleotides. The record is from Rfam. Lineage: Bacteria; Bacillati; Bacillota; Bacilli; Caryophanales; Bacillaceae.